UGGGGAAUAUUGCGCAAUGGGCGGAAGCCUGACGCAGCGACGCCGCGUGGGGGAUGACGGCCUUCGGGUUGUAAACCUCUUUCGCCAUCGACGAAGCCUUUGGGUGACGGUAGGUGGAGAAGAAGCACCGGCCAACUACGUGCCAGCAGCCGCGGUAAUACGUAGGGUGCGAGCGUUGUCCGGAAUUAUUGGGCGUAAAGAGCUCGUAGGCGGUGUGUCACGUCGGUCGUGAAAACUUGGGGCUUAACUCUGAGCGUGCGGUCGAUACGGGCAUCACUGGAGUUCGGCAGGGGAGACUGGAAUUCCUGGUGUAGCGGUGAAAUGCGCAGAUAUCAGGAGGAACACCGGUGGCGAAGGCGGGUCUUCUUGGGCCGAUACUGACGCUGAGGAGCGAAAGCGUGGGGAGCGAACA
Molecule: ribosomal RNA, 412 nt
Filed under: uncultured Pseudonocardia sp.
Lineage: Bacteria; Bacillati; Actinomycetota; Actinomycetes; Pseudonocardiales; Pseudonocardiaceae
Description: bacterial SSU rRNA
Rfam family: Bacterial small subunit ribosomal RNA
Source: RNAcentral